CUCAAUUGGAAAGAGGAGUGGCGGACGGGUGAGUAACACGUGGGUAACCUACCCAUCAGAGGGGGAUAACACUUGGAAACAGGUGCUAAUACCGCAUAACAGUUUAUGCCGCAUGGCAUAAGAGUGAAAGGCGCUUUCGGGUGUCGCUGAUGGAUGGACCCGCGGUGCAUUAGCUAGUUGGUGAGGUAACGGCUCACCAAGGCCACGAUGCAUAGCCGACCUGAGAGGGUGAUCGGCCACACUGGGACUGAGACACGGCCCAGACUCCUACGGGAGGCAGCAGUAGGGAAUCUUCGGCAAUGGACGAAAGUCUGACCGAGCAACGCCGCGUGAGUGAAGAAGGUUUUCGGAUCGUAAAACUCUGUUGUUAGAGAAGAACAAGGACGUUAGUAACUGAACGUCCCCUGACGGUAUCUAACCAGAAAGCCACGGCUAACUACGUGCCAGCAGCCGCGGUAAUACGUAGGUGGCAAGCGUUGUCCGGAUUUAUUGGGCGUAAAGCGAGCGCAGGCGGUUUCUUAAGUCUGAUGUGAAAGCCCCCGGCUCAACCGGGGAGGGUCAUUGGAAACUGGGAGACUUGAGUGCAGAAGAGGAGAGUGGAAUUCCAUGUGUAGCGGUGAAAUGCGUAGAUAUAUGGAGGAACACCAGUGGCGAAGGCGGCUCUCUGGUCUGUAACUGACGCUGAGGCUCGAAAGCGUGGGGAG
This 704-nucleotide ribosomal RNA is filed under the name Enterococcus faecalis. RNAcentral describes it as "bacterial SSU rRNA". It matches the Rfam family "Bacterial small subunit ribosomal RNA", at positions 78 to 768 of the family's 1533-position model. Lineage: Bacteria; Bacillati; Bacillota; Bacilli; Lactobacillales; Enterococcaceae. The record is from RNAcentral.